CCUACGGGAGGCAGCAGUGAGGAAUAUUGGUCAAUGGACGAGAGUCUGAACCAGCCAAGUAGCGUGAAGGAUGACUGCCCUAUGGGUUGUAAACUUCUUUUAUAUGGGAAUAAAAUGUUCCACGUGUGGGAUUUUGUAUGUACCAUAUGAAUAAGGAUCGGCUAACUCCGUGCCAGCAGCCGCGGUAAUACGGAGGAUCCGAGCGUUAUCCGGAUUUAUUGGGUUUAAAGGGAGCGUAGGUGGAUUAUUAAGUCAGUUGUGAAAGUUUGCGGCUCAACCGUAAAAUUGCAGUUGAAACUGGCAGUCUGGAGUACAGUAGAGGUGGGCGGAAUUCGUGGUGUAGCGGUGAAAUGCUUAGAUAUCACGAAGAACUCCGAUUGCGAAGGCAGCUCACUGGACUGCAACUGACACUGAGGCUCGAAAGUGUGGGUAUCAAACAGGAUUAGAUACCCCAGUAGUC
RNAcentral lists this ribosomal RNA (460 nucleotides) under uncultured bacterium. Its description in RNAcentral is "partial 16S ribosomal RNA". It matches the Rfam family "Bacterial small subunit ribosomal RNA", at positions 338 to 795 of the family's 1533-position model. The record is from RNAcentral.